Molecule: ribosomal RNA, 452 nt
Filed under: uncultured Gammaproteobacteria bacterium
Lineage: Bacteria; Pseudomonadati; Pseudomonadota; Gammaproteobacteria
Description: bacterial SSU rRNA
Rfam family: Bacterial small subunit ribosomal RNA
Source: RNAcentral
GUGGGUAUCCGCACGAGCGCACCCUUAUCCUUAGUUGCCAGCACGUAAUGGUGGGAACUCUAAGGAGACUGCCGGUGACAAACCGGAGGAAGGUGGGGACGACGUCAAGUCAUCAUGGCCCUUACGAGAUGGGCUACACACGUGCUACAAUGGCAAGUACAAAGGGUUGCAAACUCGCGAGAGUAAGCGGAUCCCAUAAAGCUUGUCGUAGUCCGGAUUGGAGUCUGCAACUCGACUCCAUGAAGUCGGAAUCGCUAGUAAUCGUGGAUCAGAAUGCCACGGUGAAUACGUUCCCGGGCCUUGUACACACCGCCCGUCACACCAUGGGAGUGGGCUGCAAAAGAAGUGGAUAGCUUAACCUUCGGGAGGGCGUUCACCACUUUGUGGUUCAUGACUGGGGUGAAGUCGUAACAAGGUAGCCGUAGGGGAACCUGCGGCUGGAUCACCUCCUU